Molecule: long non-coding RNA, 297 nt
Filed under: Panax ginseng (ginseng)
Lineage: Eukaryota; Viridiplantae; Streptophyta; Magnoliopsida; Apiales; Araliaceae
Description: long non-coding RNA (PGIN_LNC000483)
Source: RNAcentral
AUAAAAAUGAUAUUGUGAAUCACCGAGUUCAGGUUUCAAGUACCCGAAUUUGGGGGCGUCAUAGCAACUCUUAUGUCAUUGCGUAGCUCUCGAAAAGAGUUUUCCAGAAUGAUAUGACACAUCUUCAUAGGAUUCUCGGAUUGUAAGUUAUGAAAGUUUUAAGCAGCCUGUGCGCGGAUCGAGGUGCAAGUACUUCGAGACGGUGGGGCCCAAUGGGUAUUUCCGUAAGUGUACCUGCGGAAGCCAUAGGUGUACCUGCGAAAGAUUGGGCCUAUAAAUAUAGGCCCACAUCAUCUC